GUCUCGCAAAGUGGUGACCUUGGAGACACAGGCUUGGGCAAAGUAAACCCUUCUAGGUAGCACAGAGUCUGGCUGAUCGUUCCCUCGGUCAGUCCCUUAUGCUGGUUUUCUC
Molecule: non-coding RNA, 112 nt
Organism: Chelonoidis abingdonii (Abingdon island giant tortoise)
Lineage: Eukaryota; Metazoa; Chordata; Testudines; Testudinidae
Source: RefSeq, a predicted model, not a curated record